RNAcentral lists this ribosomal RNA (305 nucleotides) under uncultured bacterium. Its description in RNAcentral is "bacterial SSU rRNA". It matches the Rfam family "Bacterial small subunit ribosomal RNA", at positions 334 to 655 of the family's 1533-position model. The record is from RNAcentral.
CUUGCCUACGGGACGCAGCAGUGGGGAAUAUUGCACAAUGGGGGAAACCCUGAUGCAGCGACGCCGCGUGAAGGAAGAAGUAUUUCGGUAUGUAAACUUCUAUCAGCAGGGAAGAAAAAUGACGGUACCUGAGUAAGAAGCACCGGCUAAAUGCGUGCCAGCAGCCGCGGUAAUACGUAUGGUGCAAGCGUUAUCCGGAUUUACUGGGUGUAAAGGGAGCGCAGGCGGUGCGGCAAGUCUGAUGUGAAAGCCCGGGGCUCAACCCCGGGACUGCAUUGGAAACUACCGAACUAGAGUGUCGGAGG